This is an RNA transcript of Sapajus apella (tufted capuchin), 2129 nucleotides long. It is a transcript of the gene named 60S ribosomal protein L24 pseudogene, with no coding region annotated. NCBI's taxonomy places the organism in Eukaryota, Metazoa, Chordata, Mammalia, Primates, Cebidae. The transcript has a single exon. The record is from RefSeq and is a predicted model, not a curated record.
UAUAUGUUAUUUGCAGUUUUUACAUUGAAGAUUUAUCAUUAGAAAUUCUGCUACUGCAUUUGUCACUGAAGUACCCAAUCAAAAUGCAGAAGUCAAAAUAAAACUGUCAUCUUUUCAUAUUCCUGAAUAAGCUUUAAAAUAUUAAGCAAGAGAGAAAUAGUAAACUAAAAAGUCAAUAAUUGAUUAAAGCUUAGAAAUGAAAACAAGAGUACAUAAACCAAACCAUUCUUAUAAAAACUGUUUGUAAAUUUUUUAACCUGUAAAAAGUUAAAUACAUUAGAUAAAUUUAAAUUUGGUCAUAUGAUAGCAAUAAAAGAUGAUUCUCUCAUGUACAUUAAGUUAUGGGUGAGUUCAUAAAUAUUUACAAGAGGUUUUGGGGACUGUUGCAGUUUUUGAAAUAUCAUCUUAUAAUUUACAACAAUAGCAACAACUGUUAUUGAAAAUUAUUAAGUGAAAACUAUAUAUGAUUAUAACCACAUUUAAUAAGCUCAUAUUGAAAUCUAAAAAGGAAUGCACAAAAAUAGAUGUUCUGUGUUAUUGGUACGAAAAGAAUAAUCUUUUUCCUUCCUUCAAAAUUUACUGCAAUACAUUAGUAAUUUAAAAAAUAAACUUUACAGAAUAAUCGGAAUAGUUCAAAACCCUACAAAUGGAUAGCAAUUAAUGAAAGAUAAGGGUGUCACUACUGUAUAUAGGAUUCAGAAUUAAAGAAUAAAUCAUUUUUACAUACUCGAUACUAUAAUAUAAAUUAAUUCCCCAAAUUUUAGGAGAAACACAAAUGUACUUUCUUUUUUAACCUACAACAAACUUAACAAAAGAAAUACAUUUAUUCUUAAGGGGGAAAAAAAAUCAAUGCUUAACCACAGCAGAUGCCUGGCAUGGAGGGGUAUUUUUCUACUCUUUUAAUAGACACAUGAAAAUCUAAGCCUGGCAAACACUUAAAUUGAAGACUCUGGAACACAGUGAAUAAGUGACAUCUGGCAGAAAAUGUUAAAUAUUUCAUUCCUACUUCUGCAGAAAAGAAAAGGACUGAAAUUUAACAAAAUUUAAAAGAACAUUUCAUAUAACACUGAUAUGCAAUUAUAAAAAAUAGAUUUGGUUAAAUCUAUAUGAUAUAUGAAUAACACGAAAGUUAACAGAAUGGUAUAAAAACCAAUACUGAAUAGGUCCAUCGUGCCUACCAUUAAGUAUUUUUUAUAUCAAUGAAUUACGUAAUCUGUAAAAUGAUUAUAGAACCAAGUACAUCCACCCAAAUAUUGGAGGCAGAAUGGCUUUAUUCUACUGGAUGCUCUACAAAACACCUCUGCUUCAAGUAGUUUUAUUUCCUCAGAAUGCUACUCAGCUUCACAGAAAGGGUAUAAAAUAUCUUGGCUUUUGGCAAUUAAACUAAAUAAAAUUUAAAAGUCCAAGACCUGAGAGUAUUCACUGUUAAAUUACUUUGAAGCUACUUCUCUUGGGUUCUCUGGCACUUUCCUUUGUUAGAAGAAGUGAUCUAAAUUUUGCUUAAGUUUAUGUUCACUUUAAUGUGAACUAUGAAACAUUCCAUUUACAAAGCAUUCUUAGGCUUUCGUGAAUUUUAAAGGGUAUUAUUCGAAAAUAUAGGCUGGGGCCAUCUUUUCUCCUCCCGUGGAGCCGCCGCCAUGAAGAUCGAGCUGUGCGGUUUCAGUGGGUACAAGAUUCCUGGACACGGAGGUGCUACGCCAGGACCGAAGGAAAGGUUUUCCAGUUUCUUAAUGCAAAAUGCAAGUCAGCCUUCCUUUCCAAGAGGAAUCCUCAGCAGAUAAACCGGACUGUCUUCUAUGGAAGGAAGCAUAAAAUGGGACAGUCGGAAGAAGUUCAAAAGAAAAGAACCCGCGGAGCAGUCAAAUUCCAGAGGGCCAUUACUGGUGCAUCUCUUGCUAAUAUCAUGGCCAAAAGAAAUCAGAAACCUGAAGUUAGUAAGGCACAAGAAGAACAAGCUAUCAGGGCUUCUAAGGAAGCAAAAAAGGAUAAGCAGGUAUCUAAAAAGACUGCAAUGGCUGCUGCUAAGGCACUUCCAAAGACAGCAGCUAAGCAAAUGAUUGUGAAGCCUGUGCAAGUUUCGGCUCCCGAGUUGGUGGAAAACGCUAAACUGGCAGAUUAGAUUUUUAAAU